CUAGAACCUGAAGUUUGUCUACUCCGAGAAUAAAACAAAAACUUUAACUGUUUUACAGUUUUGUUUUGUUUUUAAUUAUUUACUGUUAUUUAUUGAUUUGUUCCAUAUCCUAUUCCGCUGUUUUUUCCAGAUAAGACAGAGAUUCCCUGGGAAUAUACCCGCUAAAGAACAGCAGUGUCUCAUGCCUCUCCUUCAUCUCUCUGUGGAGAACACAGAGACAGAGAAAACUACAACCUUUCCCAUGAGAAGCUAAGGACAUGCCUUCACCACUAGCAGCUGCUGCCACUUUGUACCUUCCUGUCCCAGAAGAUGUGGUACCAGCUGUGCAGAUCCCUGUUUACACUGGGCUUCAUCCCCUCCAGUAUUCAUUCAGCUUUCUUGCAAUGACUUUGGUGCCUGUGUGAUGCUUUUACUUCUUGUUCAAUUCUGGACCUCAGUGGGCACGGCACCAAGACCUACUGCUUCUGGUCACAAACCUCCAGAUGGAUCUACCAAAAUGAUACCUCUCAGUACUGGUACAAGAUCAAUGAAGACCUCAAAACCAACCAACCAACCAAACAAGCAAACAAAAAACCUUCAAGUUUGUCACCAGUUCAAUGUGGAGGAAGAAGGUCAGAGAGGAGGCAUUUCAGACUGAUGUUUGGUUCAGGUUUAGUAAAUUCCUUGAGCAUUUUUAUUUGAAAUUUGUAUUAUAAUGCUUCUGGUGGGGAAAAAAUGAAUAACAGAACCACAGAACCUGAAUACUGCAACAUAAUGGCACACACAUUGCAGCCAGAUAGAUCCUGAUCCAAGUCUGACUGAUUAUAACUGCAGUAGAGAACUCUGGCCAAGGUAGUUUGCUAAAAUUCACAACAGGACAGUGGGCAAGGUGAUGGAGCUGUUAGCAGCAAGAGAUGAUAAAUCUCUUUCUGAAAUGGGAACUGACUGACAACUAUGUCUAUCUCCAGUGUAUUACAGGUUAUUUCAUCUGCUUCUCCCUGCAGACAAGCCCGCACAAAGAUCAAGCCAA
RNAcentral lists this long non-coding RNA (1009 nucleotides) under Anas platyrhynchos platyrhynchos (common mallard). RNAcentral's name for it is "lncRNA (ENSAPLG00000024471.1)". The record is from RNAcentral. Lineage: Eukaryota; Metazoa; Chordata; Aves; Anseriformes; Anatidae.